RNAcentral lists this long non-coding RNA (6361 nucleotides) under Homo sapiens (human). Its description in RNAcentral is "HSALNT0336778". Lineage: Eukaryota; Metazoa; Chordata; Mammalia; Primates; Hominidae. The record is from RNAcentral.
UCUUAGGUAUGUCUUUAUCAGCAGCAUGAAAACAGACUAAUACACUGGGGCUCUAAAGUGCUAUUGUAAAAGGAGUAGGAAAAGAACUUUCCACAGACAACAACAGAAAAGUGAAAGAAACUCUGCAUUCAACAAAUGUUUAUUGAACCUUUGCAAAUAGCAGAGAAAAACAGAACAGACAACCUCAGAGUUUCUCUGAAACUUUAGGUUUAUUGUUAAACAUUAUAUGACUCCUGCAGUCCAAUCUACCAUACGUCCCCCAUUUUUUUCCGUUGUUUUUCUGCUUCAAUGUCUUAGAGAAAAAUGAUUUACCAAUACAUUGUCAACUUAAGUGUCCACGAAUGGAUGGAUAAAGAAAAUGUGGUUUGUGUGUGUGUGCGUGCAUGUAUUCCUUUUUAUGGCCAUUAUAUAUAUAAAAUGGAAUUUUAUUAGGCCAUAAAAACGAAUAAAAUAAUGUUUUUUGCAUCAACAUGGAUGAAACUGGAGAUCAUUCUCUUAAGUGAAAUAAACCAGGCACAAAAGACAACUAUCACAUGCUUUCACUUAUAUGUGGGAGCUAAAAAUUCUGAUCACAUGGAAGUAGAGAGUGGAAAGAUAGAGAACAGAGACUGGGAAGGGUGAAUCAGGGGAGAGGAAGGACAAAUAGAAGUUAAUUAAAGAGUACAAAUUUACAGAUAAAUAAAAGUAAAAAUUUCAAUGUUUGAUAGAGUAGGGUGACUGUAGUUAAACAAAAAUGUAUUGUACUCAAGUGAACACCCAAAAUACCCUGACUAGAUCACUCUAGAUUAUAUACAUGUAACAAAAUUUCAUGUGUAUCCCAUAAAUUUGUACUAAUAAAAAAUUAAAGAUUACAUACCAAGUGACAAUGAAAAAAAAUCCCUCUUUCUUUCAAACAGUUAAAAAAUGUUUUCCAUGGAAGUACAUAAGUAUAUCCUUAUGAUUUCUAGCAGUUCUAGAUUACCAAUUGUGUAUCUGCAUGGCCAAAUUCUCAAUCAACUCCAGAAACUAUGAGAGAUGAAACUUAAUUUGAACUUUAAAAAAUGGACAUAUUUGAGUACAAAAGAUAGAGAAGGCAUUCCAAAUAAGGAAGAAAAUCAUUCGGAACCUGUGUAUCAGAUAGGAGAAAGCUAAUCAAAAAGAUGAAGAAGAAUGAAUUAAGGUAAUAUGAUGAUAAAAAUACCAGUUAACACAUAAACAUUAAUAGCUGUGUCUUCUUUAUAAUUAUCCAGGAUUUCCCUUGAUGCCAAGAUUAUACUUUUGUGCACAUACCUAUAUUUUAUAUGUAAGCUUCUACUAAAAUCGGUAUUGAAAAGACAUGUUUGUUCUUAUAUGGAUUAUACAAGAAAUAGAAUAGGUGCCGUCUCUACUUUGAUGGGCGUAGCUCAGGUUUCAAUGUUAUUAAAGGUUAAAUGAUGAUAAAAAUAUAAGAAAUUUGAAAUACAGCAUUCUUCUCAAAAGCAUGAUUUUCAAACAAACAAGGUUUUCAUGUUUGUUUAUUUUGGAAUAUUUUCUUGAUCUGUAGCAUAUUAUUAAGUAAGACCCCUCUGAUUAUCAAUCAUUUUAGAUUUGCUUAAGUAGAAUGGUGAUUUUAGUAUAUUCUUUAAAAUCCUAGUGUAUAUUUAUUUUCCCUUAAUCAAAUUAGAGUACCGUUUAUUUUCAGCCCCUUGAAUCCCCCCGACAUCUUUUAUUUGUAUAUUUUUUAGUUAGGAUUUUAUAAGUUUUUAUAUGCCAUUUGCAUUGUGUGGAAUAGUCAUAAAAUUCGUUGUCAGAGCUAGCAUGUAGGACAUGAAGGAAACGAAAAUAGGAGAGAGAAAGAAAUUGCAUCAAGAAAGCAGGAGAAGCUAAAGGAAAAGUAAGAACAAAAGGAGGAGUGGAAAAGAGAUUUAAAAAUGAGAUAAGUCAUGGCAGUGGGCUUCGGAAUCAACUCUCUAUCCCCACUGUGGUCAAUGGGUCCUUCUAAGGGAGGAGUAGGAUGGAAUUCAGGGAAUAAAAUAUAUGUCUGACUAUAAUCUAAUAAUCUUUACCCUCUCCCUCAAUCCCUGUGUGCACUUAGCUCCCUCUGUUGGACUGGUGUUGUUUACACACAAGUGAUUUGUUCUUUGAAGAGGCAGCCAAACAAAAUUUCCUUCUGAUAUUUUACAUUCAAAAGACAGAGGAAAACGAUCUCUUCUUGGCGUUUUUACAUUAGUAUAAAUGUUUUUAAGUGGUGAUAACAACUAAGAUGAAUUGUUUGCACAACUCAAGACUUUUCCUCCAGGUCUUUGUUGUAGUAGAGAAAUUUAAGUAUUUUGUAUCUUUUACCACACUGACUUUCUCACAUCAAGUAUUCAAAAUUGCAACCACAUUAAGGGAGAAGUUUGGAAAUGUUCCUAUUAGAAGGCAAUCACAAUAGUUUCCAGUAACCACUAGACUUCUUGUGAUUAUGAUUUUAAUAUAGUAACAAAGCCCUCCUUCCCAAAUGGGUGAAAGAUACACAUUCUUCUAAUAGUUUAAGUCAUGUUUGGAGAUAAAAGAUGAAGACUAGGAACUCCAGACCUCUGGAAGAUUUUAGAGUAGCCAUAAUUAAUGAUAUAGAAUAUGUUAGUCUAUGAGUGCUUCAUAAUAUGCAAUAUGUGAGGCUGGAGGUUGUAUGCCUUGCUUAUUAUUUUAUGGAGUCUCAAUAAAUUUUUCUUUAAUUUACUGAUUUUAGAUUAAAAAAUUGACUUCUAAUUUUUCCAAUCAUCCAUUCACUCAUUCAGUUAACUUCUCAACAAACACUUAAGAAGAACUAAUCAUGUCACAGGUUCUGUGCACAGUGCAGGGUAUACAACCGUUAAUUAAAGUAGACAUUUUUCCAUUCUUAUGAGAUUUACAGCUUUUACUUACUUUGCUUCUCUCACACAAUACACUUAAUUUUCUAGGCUGGAGCAUGGGUUAGAGACAUUCUGGGGAUUAGAACUAACCUAGUCAUAAGAUUUCUAGGUUCUUCCUAAAUUUUAAUGCACAUUGGAGUUUCAUGUAUUUUUUAGAAUAUAAUAAAUUGAUUGAUGAUCCCUACAAUUUCUCUCAAGAUUCCAGUGUUUAUCUUGUUGAGAAUGACAGUGACCUAAUAUGUAUUGACUUUUUGAUGACCCUUACAACAAUACUACCUUGUUUCAAAUUUAUAUCCCUGGGAAUUUCCAAGAACCAUGGUGUGUGUCUAUAUGUAUGUGUGUCUAUGUGUAGGAAGAAGACAGGUGGUAAGGAGAUAAGAGAGAUGGGCAGAGAUGAUUAGGAACAAUGCAUAUAACUUUAUAUAAAAUUUUGAUCCUACUAUUCUCCUUACUUAUUCUGCAACAUACUAUAGGAUAUUAAAAAUGGAAGAUCUGUGUGACACUCAAUACCUUUAUGUAACUCAGGUGUCAUAUGACUAAAAAAAGGACUUCUCAAACUACAUUUAGUAAAUGGGAUUUAUUGUAAAAUAAAACCAGGAAACAUCAUGCAAUUCAAAUGGAAGAAAAUGGAGCUAGGUCUAUACAGUUUCUGUAAUGAGGGAUUGUUAUGUUGUUCAAGAACUGAGGACACUCAUAUCUUGAUCACUCUUCCUCUGAGGUCACAUGAGUCUUGAUUUUUAUGGGUCUAUAACCUUCUAUGCCUGGCACCCACUAGUAACUUAAUGUAAUUUCUGUGUACUACAUCCAUAAAGUAGUGGAAAGAAUAUGGUUAUGUCAGCUUAUGUCAUGUACACUCCACAGAUUAAUUCAGAUAACUGGGCAUUGAGAUGACCAGAGGUAUUUCAAUAACCAUUUAGUGAAGGUUUAUAUCAGAUUCUCCAACAAAGGGUUUGUAAAGGACAUCAGUGCCAAAUUUAAAUAUUUAUCUUUCAACAUGCAAACAACUCUUUUAAAACAAGAGACAAUACAGACUAAUUCACCACUGAAAGAUAAAUUGAAAAUCAGGACUUUCUUACAAAGAUAUUCAUUGUAAAUUCAUUUGAGUCGAUGCCAGAAAAGAUUCUAAUUUAGUGGAAUUAACCUGCUUGUUUGUUUACUUUUCCACAGUGCUCUGAGGUUUCUAAAAUAUGGGAGUUGUUGACAAUAGUGUUCUUACAUGUAAUAUAGAUGGCCCAUCCAAUUUCUUAUUAAUUAAAUUCUGCUAUCAUUUCCAUUCCUAGCUAAAUGAAAUUAUAACAAUAGAAGGUUAUGUUAUGACAAGGUAGCGUAAAAGUUUAGAAAUAUAUUUUGAGUACUCUUGACACCAUUUUGAUGUACAAAAGGAAUUGCUAAAAGAUUUGGACCACUUUAUAAUCUAUAUUAGGUUUCAGAACUUGCAUGCAGACAAAUACUCAUUCAGUUUCAGAGAGAGAAUUUAGAGCCAACAAUAACUUUGAAAUUUAUUAAAAGUAGGUCACCUUCUUAAUGGUGAAAUGUUUGUGCUAAAAGGAGGAAUAGUUCUCUUGACUAAAUUUGUUAGGACUCAAAAGAGUGCAAAAAGGGUCAUUGAAAAGGAUAAUUUAUGGCACUCAAAAUAUUUGUGAAUCCAAAUAUUGUCAUUUUUUUUCUAAACAAGCAAGGAUACUGAUCAGUUAACAGCAUUCAUAUAAAUGAACUGUUAAGGUUGAAAUGAACAGGAGCUAUCUUGUGUUAUUUACAAUCAAGUUCUGUCUUAGAGACAAUGGUAAAUUAUUAAUAAUGCUCAUUAAUCAAUGAGCAUAUUAAAAUAAUUACAUUCUCUGCAUUUUUAUUUACUGAAUAUUUCUAAAUUUAUUUUAAAUUUAUUACUCAACUUAAUCUCUAACAUUCCUCAUUGACUAUUUAGUCAAUUGUGCUAAUGUUCCACUUUCCAAAACAACAUGCAAAUGGAAGAAAGAAUGAACUAAUAGUCAUUGUGCACUUGUUAAAAUAAACCAGGCAAUUUGCAUAAGUAAGCAUAUUUAAUACCUACAACACUACAGUACAGAUAUUAUAUUAUUUACGGAAGAAAAAAAUUGAACAUCAGAGGAAUUCAAGAAAUUGUCCAGAAUCAGGUAAGAUAGCCAAAAAUAUCAGAACUGGUUGCUGAUCAGUCUGUAUAUCUAUAAAGUACAUGCUUUAAAAAAAACACACUUCCUAUAUGCUAUGCCAAUUAUUUCCUAUUUCUUGUAAUAUCAAGUUAAAUCUGCUCAGCCUAGCAUUAUGAUGAUCCAUUAUCUGGUGUCUCUUUACUUAAUCAAUCUUCUUUUCACUGCUGUCCAACACAAAGCCUGUUUUUCAGUCAUCAAUCUACUUCCACCUCCAGACCUUAUUUUAUCCACUCUGGAGUCAGAAGGCCCAACCCUCUUUCAUAUAAAUCCAAACCUAAAUUCUCCAUGACAACCUCUCUCUUAGUUAUAAAUAAAAUUCCCUGCCCUUUUUGUUUUUUCCUUAUUUUCUGACUGCUGUUUUCUAUGCCCUCUUUUACUGUGGUCUAACAAUCACUUCUUCAGGCUGAUCUGCCUGCUCUCCUUUCUUCUAUGACGUCUUCUAUAGCAUUGAUAGGGUGCUUCUAUCUCUCACCAACUGCUUUGAAAUGAGCUCCUUCUCUUCUAGAUCUCGUAUAUACUACAUAAUUAGUUACCAUAUGGCCACAAUAUACAUGCAAUGCAGGGUGCAGAAGAGUCUCAGAAAGAAUGCCCAUGUGCUGUCCUUCACAUGAUGAGUCAACCAUAACCUUUGAAGAGUGCCUGGGACAUAAUGAUUGCUUCAGAAUAGAUUUAUAAAUGAAUGAGUAGUUAAACCAAGGUCAAACAGCUGGUAUCAGGAGAAGAAUUAGGGGUAAGUGAUCCUUGUCUCCUGCCUCUUUAUGCCUUAGUCUUUUCAAUACACCAUAUUCACCUAUGAUUUUCAUUAUUUCAGGAAAUAUGACAGACUUAAACUUUCACUUUAUUGAGUAGGUUAUUGUUUUGUUUUUGCGUCUCCUAGUUUAAGAAAGAGAAAUAGAAACAGCCAAACAAAACACUGGUAGGCAUUGACAACAACAACCUUAAGGAAACAUGCACUAAGAAGGAUUGCAGAGGCAUGAGGUGGUGAAGUCCAGGGAGUACAAAUAAUCUCAUAUGCAUCUGACUACUGCACUCCAACAAUACACACAAGAGUUGAAUAUCACUCAGGUAGAAUAAUUUCAUAUGGUACAAAGAUAUAAUAUAGGUUAUAUAUACAAUACCAUCUCUAGUGGUUUGAUGGAAACUUUAUGGAACACUCAGUUGAAAAAAAAUUCAAUAGUCAUGCAUGAGGUCCACAGGAAAUGUAUCAGAUUGAUUAAGAAUGUCUGUUGUGGUUAUGGAUAGUGAUACAGCAUUAUGAAUAUCAUAAAUAUUCAACUCUUUCUUAUUAUAUUUUUUAUUAUCACUUUUACAUUAUUCAGUGAAUUAACUUGCCUGACAGAA